UUUCCGUAGGUGAACCAGCGGAAGGAUCAUUAAAGAGUCGGGGUCCAUCAGGGCCCGAUCUCCCACCCUUUGUCGUCGCGAAUUCGUUGCCUCGGCGGGCAGGCGGCCCUCGAAAGCCGCCCCCGGGCCCCGGCCCACCCGUCGCGGGACAAAACCAACUCUGCUUUUUAACAAUGAAGUCGGAGCGAUUUAAACAAAUGAAUCAAAACUUUCAACAACGGAUCUCUUGGUUCUG
Molecule: unclassified non-coding RNA, 235 nt
Filed under: plant metagenome
Description: partial contains small subunit ribosomal RNA, internal transcribed spacer 1, and 5.8S ribosomal RNA
Source: RNAcentral